This 323-nucleotide long non-coding RNA is filed under the name Medicago truncatula (barrel medic). RNAcentral's name for it is "long non-coding RNA (MTRU_LNC006190)". Lineage: Eukaryota; Viridiplantae; Streptophyta; Magnoliopsida; Fabales; Fabaceae. The record is from RNAcentral.
UACCUUUCUUUGGUUUAUGAGGCAAAUCCUUGAGACGAAAGCAUUUUAGUGAAGAUCCAAAACGAUACUUUCCAACAUGAGUAACAGCAUUUUCUGCAUCACAACGUUUCUGGAAAACAACUCUGACGCCGUUAGUCUUCGCUAAGAGUUCGGUCUUUGAUUCAAUUAAGGGCCCAAAACAGCAUAAAAGCUUGUUGAGAAUAGUUGUUGAAGGAACAGAAUCUUUGUUUGUAUGUUUAAGAGUUAGCGCAGUAGGAGAACACUCCAAAGCAUUAUGCAUUAAACCUAAAUUUGAACUAUUUUCAGAAGAUGGUGAAAGCUCC